Molecule: ribosomal RNA, 456 nt
Filed under: Laeonereis culveri
Lineage: Eukaryota; Metazoa; Annelida; Polychaeta; Phyllodocida; Nereididae
Description: partial 16S ribosomal RNA
Rfam family: Bacterial large subunit ribosomal RNA
Source: RNAcentral
GUAGGUCUGUCCUGCCCAGUGAUAAUAAUUCAACGGCCGCGGUACCUUGACCGUGCAAAGGUAGCAUAAUCAUUUGCCUUUUAAUUAAAGGCUAGUAUGAAUGGAUCCACAAGAAUAAAACUGUCUCAUUUCUAAAAUAAAUAUAAACUGAUAUCUAAAUGAAGAAGUUUAGAUAUUAAUAAAGGACAAGAAGACCCUAUAGAGCUUUAUUAUUAUUUAGACAUACUAAUAUAAUAAAUUGAUUGGGACAAUCUUAAGACAUAUAAACCUCUUAUAAUUUAAAUAUACUACACCCUAACUUGUAAAUGAAUAAGCUACCUUAGGGAUAACAGGCUAAUCUUACUAAAGAGAUCACAUUGACAGUAAGGAUUGGCACCUCGAUGUUGGCUUAGUGUAACUAUAGGGUGCAGCCGCCUUAUUAAGUUGGUUUGUUCAACCAUUAAAUCACUACAUGAG